RNAcentral lists this long non-coding RNA (993 nucleotides) under Arachis ipaensis. Its description in RNAcentral is "long non-coding RNA (AIPA_LNC002004)". Lineage: Eukaryota; Viridiplantae; Streptophyta; Magnoliopsida; Fabales; Fabaceae. The record is from RNAcentral.
UUAUAAAUGAAAUGGGGAAAGGAUGAUUGAGUUAAGCGGUAAUACGAGGAAAGUAAUAUGUUAGUAAAGGUAGUUAUUUUGUUUCUCAUCAUGAUGGGAUUUUCAGCAACUAUUGAAGCUGGUCGCCAUCACCAGCAGAAGCUUGAUCCAGACAUGAUCACAACACAAAUGUUCAACAAUGGCGCUACAAGUUAUUACUCUUCAUCACAAAAAGAGACGACUCUUAUUUGCAUGUGUUCAGGUAUUGAUGUUUCAUGCAAUCAAUCUUGCAAAAAUUGUAGUUGCCAAGAUUAUGAUGAGGAUGAUCUGAAGUUGUGCAAGUGUGAUGAUGUUCGUAAAGAUUCUUGCCCCGAUUCUUGCACAAAUAAUUGUUCUUGUUAUCCCUAUAAUAUUAACUAGGAAAAUGAUGAUAAUGUUACUUCUACUUUCGCUUUUUACAUACAUGAUGUUUUAACAUUGUAUUUUUAUAUAAAUUUAAAUAAACUAUUAAAAUAGUAUUUAAAGAUAGAAAUAUGAGAUAAAGAAGUUUUUUUUGUUAACUAAAUCUAACUAAGUUAAAUUUGUAUAUGUGCAUUUAUAUUCUGAUUCUUGUUCUGGUUCUCAUUCUUCUUCUUCCUCCUCAUUGAUGGCGGGAUUUCACAAUUCACAAAACACCAACAAGUACAUUGGGUCGAUCCUACGAGGAACAAAGGAUUAAGCAAUCAAAUUCAAUCAAUAAAUCUAGUCAGGCUAGCAAAUUAGGGUUUUGAAUGGAUUUAAACAUAAACAGCAAGUAUCGGAACAAAAACAGAAGCAAACAGUGAGUUAAGAAGUGAUGUAUAAUUGAGAAAAUUAAGGUUUCAGAGAUGUUAGUCAGCAGAAUUAAGCUUUUCACUUUCUAUUCCAAUCAUGCAAUGAUUCUUUCAUGAAAAAUCUUUAGUAAUUAAACCACAAUCCCUUGAUGAUUUAAUUUCUCUUUAACCCAAUUAAAUGCUAAUUCCUUAGUCAUUUAAU